This is a non-coding RNA of Camellia sinensis, 1582 nucleotides long. The record is from RefSeq and is a predicted model, not a curated record. NCBI's taxonomy places the organism in Eukaryota, Viridiplantae, Streptophyta, Magnoliopsida, Ericales, Theaceae.
AAAAUUUACUAAUCCUGGAAUUGAUAGAUGUUCUUUUUCUCUAAUAGGAAAUUUGCUGCUAGAGCACUGGAAAUCAGCUAGGUUGUCCCUAGAUGGAAAUUUGCUGCUGGAGUACUGGAAAUCAGCUAGGCUGUCCCUAGAUGGUAGACUUUUUAAUCUUUUAAUAUGGUCCUUCAUAUGUGAUGAUUACUGUUUUUAGUAUUAGUUUGGAGUCAUUUGACCAGAUGCAUGAAUUUUUUCUACUCUAUAGUACCAAAAUUUGAGUUGGAAUAUGAACUACUCAUGUUGUUUGCUAUAAAACAAGCUGGUUUUACUCAUUUGAGUCUUGGAUCAACUAUGUACUUUUGUUGCACCAUGACUUACUCCAUAAACGAUAUUCAUGUUUGAUUUACGCGCCACUCUAGUAUAUUGACCAUUGUGAGCAUUCUGUUUAAUUUUGGAAUUAGUUCAAGAGUUGAAAAUCAAUCAGGAAUGUAUCAUUAAUAUGUUAGGAAGCUGGCAAUAGUAGCAAAUCUCAGUAAAAAUUUGGGAGAAUUGCAAAAAAGUGGCAUCAACACAAAAUAAUUGCAAUGUCAUGGAAGUAAAGCCAAUUUAUGCAUUAAAUUGUGCAACAAAGUCUUACACUUCCAUCUCUUUGUAAUUAUUUUGAGUUUAUAUCAUUUUUUUGCAAUUGUCUCUAAAAAUUUUAGAAAAACUAUUCAAAACAAUUUGAGGAAAAAGUAAACAAAAGUAGAUUAAUAUAAAGACUUAAUUGAAGUAACAAGGCUGGUUAGGAAGAAAGGGAAACAUGUACAGUUUGUGAAUUAUUGUGCCAAUUGAGGGAUUGAUUGUUGUUUUGGAAGCUAUUUUGAUAUUAAUAAGUGAUUUGUUUAUUGAUGAUGUACACAGACUGGGGUCUCUGUUAGACAUAAUUUGUAGGGGAAAAAUAAAAUAUAUAAAAUAAUACAUUUAAUUUACAGUGGCCACAUGUUACCGCUUCUCUUUUCUAUAUAUGUAUAUCACUUUGAUAGAUAGAUAGAUUGAUAGCACUACACUGGUAGAAUGGAAUAAAAAAUCUGAAUUUCAGCAUUUAACAAAUAAACUAGUUUUGCUGCUAGAUAGAUAUAGCCCAUGGAGAGCCAAUGGAUGGAAGCCAAAUUGAUGAGGAUUUAAAUGAGCCAACCAUGGGUGAGAAACUUACAAGUUUAAAUUUGCUAGAGAAUGACAAGGUUAAGAGCCUAGAGAAAAAAGAAAUUGCUCAGCACGCGAUGCCUCCAGUUUCAAUAGUAGAGGUUGAUGAUUUGUUUCCGAUAUUCUCUUGACAAUGGGAGCAGUAGUGGCAACAAGACUGUGACAAGAAUUCUUUCAGGACAACCUAUAUUCUUCAAGACUCUAUAACAAGACUGUAAAUGAGUGCCCUAUUUCUUGUUUCCAUAUACUAGUUUUUUAUGUGAAUUAGGGUGGGUAUUUGCAAGGAUUCUUUGAAUCAAAACUAUUGUAACGUCAAAUGUUUUUUGUACUUGCAAGAGGUGGAAAACCUUUGCAGUAUUCUUUCAAAAACUCUUUGUUAUUGUAACAAGAAUUUUAUUAAGAAAAGAGAUGA